Molecule: ribosomal RNA, 468 nt
Filed under: uncultured bacterium
Lineage: Bacteria
Description: partial 16S ribosomal RNA
Rfam family: Bacterial small subunit ribosomal RNA
Source: RNAcentral
GACGAACGCUGGCGGCGUGCUUAACACAUGCAAGUCGAACGGAAAGGCCCUGCUUUUGUGGGGUGCUCGAGUGGCGAACGGGUGAGUAACACGUGAGUAACCUGCCCUUGACUUUGGGAUAACUUCAGGAAAUUGGGGCUAAUACCGGAUAGGAGCUCCUGCUGCAUGGUGGGGGUUGGAAAGUUUCGGCGGUUGGGGAUGGACUCGCGGCUUAUCAGCUUGUUGGUGGGGUAGUGGCUUACCAAGGCUUUGACGGGUAGCCGGCCUGAGAGGGUGACCGGCCACAUAGGGACUGAGAUACGGCCCAGACUCCUACGGGAGGCAGCAGUGGGGAAUAUUGCACAAAGGGCGGAAGCCUGAUGCAGCAACGCCGCGUGCGGGAUGACGGCCUUCGGGUUGUAAACCGCUUUCGCCUGUGACGAAGCGUGAGUGACGGUAAUGGGUAAAGAAGCACCGGCUAACUACGUG